This 253-nucleotide ribosomal RNA is filed under the name uncultured bacterium. Its description in RNAcentral is "partial 16S ribosomal RNA". It matches the Rfam family "Bacterial small subunit ribosomal RNA", at positions 524 to 776 of the family's 1533-position model. The record is from RNAcentral.
UACGUAGGGUGCGAGCGUUAAUCGGAAUUACUGGGCGUAAAGCGUGCGCAGGCGGUUCGUUGUGUCGGCGGUGAAAGCCCCGGGCUUAACCUGGGAAUGGCCGUUGAAACUGGCGAACUGGAGUGUGGCAGAGGGGGGUGGAAUUCCGCGUGUAGCAGUGAAAUGCGUAGAGAUGCGGAGGAACACCGAUGGCGAAGGCAGCCCCCUGGGCUAACACUGACGCUGAGGCGCGAAAGCGUGGGGAGCAAACAGG